RNAcentral lists this ribosomal RNA (623 nucleotides) under uncultured bacterium. RNAcentral describes it as "bacterial SSU rRNA". It matches the Rfam family "Bacterial small subunit ribosomal RNA", at positions 58 to 688 of the family's 1533-position model. The record is from RNAcentral.
CGAAGCACAGAUGUAGAAUUUCUUCGGAAAGGAAGCGCCUGUGACUGAGUGGCGGACGGGUGAGUAACGCGUGGGCAACCUGCCCCAUACCGGGGGACAACAGCUGGAAACGGCUGCUAAUACCGCAUACGUUUUCGGUGCCGCAUGGCGCCGAAAAGAAAACUCUGGUGGUAUGGGAUGGGCCCGCGUCUGAUUAGCUAGUUGGGAGGGUAACGGCCUACCAAGGCGACGAUCAGUAGCCGGCCUGAGAGGGCGACCGGCCACAUUGGGACUGAGACACGGCCCAGACUCCUGCGGGAGGCAGCAGUGGGGAAUAUUGCACAAUGGGGGAAACCCUGAUGCAGCGACGCCGCGUGAGCGAAGAAGUACCUCGGUAUGUAAAGCUCUAUCAGCAGGGAAGAAAGUGACAGUACCUGACUAAGAAGCCCCGGCUAACUACGUGCCAGCAGCCGCGGUAAUACGUAGGGGGCAAGCGUUAUCCGGAUUCACUGGGCGUAAAGGGAGCGCAGGCGGCGCGGCAAGUCUGAUGUGAAAGCCCGGGGCUCAACCCCGGGUCUGCAUUGGAAACUGUCGAGCUGGAGUGUCGGAGGGGUAAGCGGAAUUCCUAGUGUAGCGGUGAAAUG